RNAcentral lists this ribosomal RNA (301 nucleotides) under uncultured bacterium. RNAcentral's name for it is "partial 16S ribosomal RNA". It matches the Rfam family "Bacterial small subunit ribosomal RNA", at positions 509 to 807 of the family's 1533-position model. The record is from RNAcentral.
CAGUCGCCGCGGUAAUACGGAGGGAGCUAGCGUUGUUCGGAAUUACUGGGCGUAAAGCGCGCGUAGGCGGUUACUCAAGUCAGAGGUGAAAGCCCGGGGCUCAACCCCGGAACUGCCUUUGAAACUAGGUGACUAGAAUCUUGGAGAGGUCAGUGGAAUUCCGAGUGUAGAGGUGAAAUUCGUAGAUAUUCGGAAGAACACCAGUGGCGGAGGCGACUGACUGGACAAGUAUUGACGCUGAGGUGCGAAAGCGUGGGGAGCAAACAGGAUUAGAUACCCCCGUAGUCCCUGUCUCUUAUAC